GCAUAAUCAUUAGUUUUUUAAUUGGAGACUGGAAUGAAAGGUAGAUACUAAAAAGAUUGUUUUAUUUAAUGAUUUUGAAUUUAAAUUAAAAGUAAAAAUGCUUUUAUGAAUCUUUGGGACGAGAAGACCCUAGAAGCUUAAAAGUUUAAUAAUUUUUUUGUUGGGGCAAUAGUUGAAGAGAUUAAUUUUUAAUAUUAGAAAAUAGAAGUAUAAAGUUACUCUAGGGAUAACAGCGUUAUUUAAUUAGCAAGUUCUUAUUAAUAAUUAAGUUUGCGACCUCGAUGUUGAAUUAAAA
This 295-nucleotide ribosomal RNA is filed under the name Napostygnus bispinosus. Its description in RNAcentral is "partial 16S ribosomal RNA". Lineage: Eukaryota; Metazoa; Arthropoda; Arachnida; Opiliones; Metasarcidae. The record is from RNAcentral.